This 11767-nucleotide long non-coding RNA is filed under the name Malus domestica (apple). Its description in RNAcentral is "long non-coding RNA (MDOM_LNC016161)". Lineage: Eukaryota; Viridiplantae; Streptophyta; Magnoliopsida; Rosales; Rosaceae. The record is from RNAcentral.
GAUAUGUCUGUCCGACAGUUUAUCCAUAUCUUAAGCAGCAGGCUUCACUUGACCUCGGGGAAAGCUCUUUUUGUUUUUGUGAAGAACACUUUACCUCAAACAGGUAAAGAGCGUGUUGUCAUCCAUUUGACCAGUACAAUUUAGCGCAUGCAUCAUAUUUUCGGAGCCACUUCAACACUUUAUUAUGUGUGUUUCUUUACAGCCAGUCACUUGGAUUCCAUCUAUGAAACUUACAAGGAGGAUAACGGUUUCCUGGAUGUGUUACAGCAGCGAGAAAACAUUUGGCUAAUCUUGCCAUCCCCUCCCCUAAUUAUCUAAUCGCCUCGUCCAUCUCAGUGACUUGUAAGUAUUGAUUGUUAACUUGUUCUCUAUCAGAACGGGCCUGUGAGGCCCGCUUCACUCUGUAUUUUCAUGUUCUUUGUAUAUUUGAUUCAUUGUGAAUUCGGUAAAGUUCGCAACUUUUAAUAAAUGCAACAUUUACCAAAUUCAAUAUUGUCUCAUUUAUCUUUCCUGUCCCAAUAUAUUUCCAAACUUUUCCUCCUUAAACUACCAAAUUGAAGUUCAACGAAAAAAAAAAAGGAUUUUCUACGAUGCCCCAGAGUAUGGGAUACUCCGGGUGCUUUAACCGUUUAGAUAUUUGUUUAAAAAUAAAGAAAUCAAAAUCUAACGAUUAAAAAGUCCGGAGUACUCUAUGCUCUCAAGCAACAUGGAAGGAAAAAUGAAUCCGAAAACAAAGAAAGGUAUAUGAAGAGCAGACGAUGAUGUAUUUAUUCACCACGUAGUCACAAACGAUACAAUGGUAUUCACAAGUGAAAUGAAUGUGUUUUUAACACCUUAUUCGACUGUCUUUACUAUUUUACACCCCCAAAGUUUCACACAUCAUGAAUUUUGAACUAUUUUACUAUUUGGCUACAGUGCAUCAGUAAUUCCAUGGAUAGCGACGUCUGCCUCCACAAUGCAAGUAUCAUUCAACACAAUGUAUGCCUGGUUGAAUGAUCCCAGAGUAAUAAAUCUCAUCCAUCCCCUCACCGAAUUUGAGGCACUGAACCAGUGAUUUGCUGCAAUCACCAAAAAGGAUUAUCAGUUCAAUAGUAUAUUGGAAAAAAGGGUAAAAGGGUGACUCCAAGCUAACAGAACUCUCCGGGAAGGAACAUCUAUCGUAAACAACUUUACUCUUACGUUGCAAAGAGUCUGUUUCCACAAGGGUAAAACAUGCAAAUAGAGUUGGCUACAAACUUUUAAUAAAAGAUAUAACUGGAUGACACUAAACAAAUUAAAUUGUUGUCUAUAUACGGUUUAUUGUCCUGUUGCUGAAAACAUUCAGUUGCUUUCUGCUAAAUACUAGAAGUUCAACAUGAGUUUCAACAUUUCAAGAGUGCACCAAAUGGGCAUGCCCCGGACACUGCAGUCUUCAAGUUCAGCACAUUCUUGAAGAAACACUCGAAUGUUUUCAGAAAAUGGACAGUGAGGAUGACUGAUUGGGCUACCUGAAUCCCAAAACAAAUUAAACCCUAAAAUCUUUCGCUACGACAAACCUACAAUUGUGAACAUUUUCAGUAGGUUGCAAUCAUAAAUUCUCGAUAUUGGCUUUCCACUGAACGCAGGUUCAACAGUAAGUAUCACCAACAUGGUACGCCAUCACGACUCAAACACCUCCAAGAACUAGAUUCUCAUCGUAGUUCGUGGUGGGAUUUUAGCAUGAUGGCGGCAAUAAAACCACCCUUAAAUUUUGAAUGUUUGUUAGAUGUUCUAAUCCUUUUUGCUCGUAUGAUUAUGUAGCAGUAGGAUUAGGCAAAAUCUUUACCUUUACUGGAGAGAUGAUACUCGCCCCACUUCUGAUCUAGGAUCCGCAGGGUAAACUCUGCAUAUAUUUUAUAGCCAGGAGGAAGAGAUUUCGGUUCAGCUAACGCCAGAAAAAAAGCAAGAUGGGUUCCAACUCCAUUGCCCUUUCCCUUGGGAUAGAGCUGCAUCUUCCUGCAACAACCACCAUCACAUUUACAACACUUUCAGAUAAACUGCGCUUAAGUUUUUGAUAUCUUCGAGAGAAAUUUCUUAUACCAAGAGCGAAGUCUAACAAGUUUAGUGUUAUAUAUAUACCAUUUCUGGUCUCCAGCAAUGAAUGUUUUUGAGUCGUAGGAUUCCGCAUCUAGCUUUGAUACGUUGUCAAUCCUCCAAGUAUUCUUGUACAUAACAGGAUCCUUUACCAUUGAUAGACGUUCUCCUUUGCCUUCGCUUCUCUCUUUAGAAACAAAGACCUCUGCUCCCAACACACAAGUGUCAUCUAUGAGAAAUCCAUUUGAAGCUUGAGUGAAAGCUUUGUGGGAGAGAAAUUGAUCGAAUCCCCAAUCGAGUUUCAUCCCAUGAAACCGCCUUUCCUUUGGUUCUGAGCAAUGCAUAUUUAAAAAAGAUUGGAAAAUGAGACGACGCUUCACAAAUAUGAGAACUAUAAGCCCUUUUUAUUGGUUGAGUUAAAAGAAAGAAAUGGUACCUUGAAGAACGAAGUAAUUGCCGUUGUUCUGAUCGAGUAUAAACAACCUGAAAACAGCAGACACUUCCGAAGAAGUCUGGGGAGCAGUUGCCCUAGACAUUACCAAGUAGAGAGAGAUGUGCUCUUUCACAUUCCUGCUCUUGUUUCCAUUCGGAUAGAAAACCAGUUUCCUGCAGCAAAACAGCAAUUUAUAGUACUCAGAUUCAUAUUCCAAAAAAAAGAAGAAAACACUAGCAAUUAUCGCAAAGCUAAUGAGAAAAAGAACAGUAAGAACCUAUGCUCAGAAAUAGAGAGAAAGGAUUGUACCAUUUGUAUCCUCCGGCUUCAAAGUCCCCAGAUUCAUAUUUCUCCAUGUUAUGUUUGGUGAGCAACGAAAUCGAUUGUACUUUUACUGUGUAAUGGGUUGGUGGUGCAUCCGAAAUAGUUCUCAGUAUCCCUGAAAAGAAACGUGUACAUUAGCUACUAAUUUCCAACUUCAACACACUCAAGCAAACAGAUAAAGUAUCUUACCAUCUUGGUCAUCGAAGUUGAGACUCGUCAUAUCAACAAACUUGAUUUUCCGAUAAUUCAAUACAAGUUACAAAGGAUUCAACCGGGGUUUCUGUUCUAGAACCAAAUAUGUUUUCCUGCUUAUAAGGAAAAAUUAAAGUGUAUUAUUCCUAACUUGAAAGCUUUUAAGCAUAGAAAUGCUAUGCUUUGCUUCAAAAGGGUUGCCAUUGUUUCAUUUGAAAGGUAUCCAUCACCUGCUUGUAAGGAAAAAUAUAGGUGUUAUUCCUAACUAGAAAGCUUUAAAGGAUAUAAAUGUUGCAGAUGACGCUUUGCCGCAGUGGCGGAAAGCAAUCAUGCCUAUGCGCCUUGGUGCGGGUUUGAUCUCUACCCAUCCCCUCCCCCUGAACACUAACAAUUGAACCUAGCAACGCUAUUGUUUGUCAAGAAAAAAAAAAGGAUAGAAUAGAACCGUCAUGCUUUGCUUCAAAGGGUUGCCUUUUUUCAUUGAAAAGGUAUCCAUCACCUGGUUUAGGUGCUUCAAAACACAUAUUCUCCAAAAAUUAGAAAUCAAUUAAAUGGCUUGGAUCGAUGAACAUAUGUUUCUAAAUAAAAAUCCAAAUAUUUAUCAAAUUAGCUUAUUAGCAGACUGAUGCAUACUUACAUAUAUAUAUAUAUAUAUAUAUAUAUUUAUAUAUAGGCUAAAAGGCUUUUUAUUCAAAAUGGUCCAUGAGAUUUGCAUAAUUCAUAAGUUUGGUCCCUGAGAUUUAAAAUCAAUAGAAAUAGGCCCUGAGAUUGUCCACCAUCCAUGAUUUUGGUCCUUCCGCUGAAGCUUUUGGCCGGAAGUUUGGGCAAUUUUCAAAGGUUCGUAACUUAAUCGUUUCUUAACCAAAUUCGACCCAUAAUAUAUCAAAAUGAAGAUAGGAAAGUGUAGAAUAAGAUUAUAUCUAUUUGGAAUCCCAAUGAUUGCCGGAGAUGGUCAGAAAAUAGCCUCAAAGUUGACUGUUCCGAGGGAAAACUGGAAAACUUGCCAGAAACUCGCCGAAAACUGGGUAAACUUUAAACGUUCAUAACUUCUUCAAUAGUCAACGAAAUCAAGUCAUUCAAAAACGAAAAUCAUACUUCUCAACGAGAAGAAGAGAAUGGUAUCUUUUUCAAUGGCUAAUUAACCGUGGUUUGGCUGGAAAACGGCUCGAACGUGGCUGUCGAAAAACGAGUAAGCAACUUUCGAGCCGUUUUUCGGCCAAACCACGGAGAUUUAGCCAUUUAAAAAGGUACCAUUCUCUUCUUCUCAUUGAAAAGUAUGAUUUUUGUUUUUGAAUCACGUAAUUUCGUUGCGUAUUGAAGAAGUUAUGAACGUUUAAAGUUUACCCAGUUUCCGACGAGUUUUCCAGUUUUCCCUCGGACCAGUCAAUUUAGAGGCUAUUUUCCGACCAUCUUCGGAAACCAUUGGGCUUCCAAAUAGAUAUAAUCUUAUUCUAUACUUUCCUAUCUUCAUUUUGAUAUAUUACGGGUCGAAUUUGGUUAAGAAACGAUUCAGUUACGAAGCUUUGAAAAUUGCCCAAACUUCCGGCCAAAAGCUUCAGCGGAAGGACAAAAAUCAUGGAUGGUGGACAAUCUCAGGGACUACUUCUAUUGAUUUUAAAUCUCAGGGACCAAACUUACGGAUGAUGCAAAUCUUAGGGAUCAUUUUGAAUAAAAAGCCUUAUAUAUAUGUAUGUAUGUAUGUAUGUAUACAAUAAUAUUAUUAACCUACGACCAUGCAUGAUUCUUGUAAUAGAUUGACGGUCAAAUAAUUGGGAGACAUCCCAUAUAUUCAUAAAUAAUAUUGCCGUUAAUACAAAAAUUCAUGUUAAAUGUAUUUAUAACGGUAUUUAAUUGUUAGAAAAAGAAAAUUAUGACAAAUUUCUUUUUAAUUUUCAAGUUGUUAAAAAAAUAGGUAGACGGGUGAAAAAAAGAGAGUAAACGGGUUAAAAAUGGGUAAAGGGGUACGCGGUUAUGGUUAAAUGGGUAUGCGGUUAUGAGUAUGGUUAACCGUUUAUAAACGGUUAUGGGUAUGAGUAUACCCGUUUAUGUAAAUACCCAACGGGUAAACGGUUAUGCGGGUAAAAGCUUUAACGGUUAUGGGAAAAUAACCGCAGUUACCCGCCCGACAUAACCGUUGCCCAUCUCUAGUUUAGCAUUGUCAAGGAGGUUAAGAUUACACAAACAAAACAAAGUUUCGGCUAUAGACAAGAGAUGUUAGUCGUAUGACAUUACUGGUCAAGACCCGGUAUAUUUGGCGCUCAACCAUAUUUUUGAGCAAAAAAUGCAUUUCAAUCAUUUUUGAAACAAAAGCACAAACUUGAGCCCAACAUAAAUUCAAAGAUAAAAAUGCCUUUCAACCACAUGUCAUUUGGUGGGAAAGGAUUGCUGCUCUAGAGUUCUAUAGAAGCGCAACAUUUAGUACAAACCAUAUCGUGGACGCAGAACUUUCAUUCAUAUUCAAAGUCAGUUAACAUCAUUUUAGCAACAUUGAAACUGAAGACAAGCAGACUGCAGUGCUUUUGCAGCUCCGAGGACAGUGACAUUGGCCUCCACUAUGCAAGUAUCAUUCAACAAAAACCCCUUGCCUGCAUGUUUGAAAGUGUCCAGUGGAAUGAAACAAGACCAACCAAAACUUUAAUCCGCGGCACUGAACCAGCGACUAGCUACACGGACACGGAAUAAAUCCUCAUGUUAUAUGGGACUAUAUACAUAAUUAAACAUUGAAAGAGGACAAAUUUACCUUCAGAAGACUUGUUCAAGGAAGGGAUUUAUCUACAAUGCGCAGGGAAAACUCAGCAAACACUUUAGAAUCACGAAGGUCUUCUGAACCAUCCAAUUCCAAGUAAAGUGAAAUAUGAGUACCCUUCUCAUCAUAAUUUCCUUUCGGACAGAGCUGAAUCUUCCUCCAGCGACCAUCAGAAGAGGUAUAUGAGAACAUUUCAAGAUUCCAUUAACCUUUCAAGUUUAAUAAAAAGGAGCAGUUUUUUACAUUAGAAGCAAAACUACAACUUGACACCUUAAGGGAUAAUGUAAACAUUAUGUACGUACAAAUUGCAUAUGUAGUUCAAACCUCUGAAAGUAUAUCCAUCUCUUUUCAGUUAGCUGAAAAUUGACUUCAGCAAAGAAAAGGUAUUGAUAAGAUAGUAAAUUGAAAACCUAUUGGAGAUACGAUUUCUGGUCUUCAGCAAUUAAGAGUUGUGAGUAUUAACUCUCAGCAUCUAACAUUGAAAAUUUUUCAACCUUCCAAACAUGCUUGCACUUAACAGCAUCCUUGAUCAUUGAUAGACGCUCUCCAUUUCCUAUUCUUCUUUCUUUACAAACAAAAAUGUCCGCUCCAAAUACACCUCUUCCAUGAGAUAUCCGUGUUGAAUUGUAAUCUUGUCUUGGCCCAAGACAAUUGAUCCGGCCCAUACACAAAGAAAGAUCCAUGCACAUGCUAGAGAGUUCUAGCAAAGUUCAAGUUGGUGGAAUGCAUGCAUAAAUAUCUAAGGCUUUUUGUGGAAAGAUCUAGAAUCUUGUAAAAAUGUGUGGUUGUUAAGCAUUAGCUAGAAAGUUCUAGCAAUGCCAAAGUUGGCAAACCUUGCCUAUAAAUAGGUGAGGUGCUAAGCUAUGUGAUGUAACAACCAAGAGAGGAGUGAGAAAAAGAGUGAAGUGAGGAGUAAGAAGUGAGAAGAAGUAACAAAGCUUCUAAGAGUGAGUGUUUCCUCUUGUACUAAGUUUGUGUGAGAAUAAAAAUUGUGUAAUACUUUGAGUGUUUUUUCUUUCUCUUGCCUAUCAAAUUCCGUUGCGUCAUACUCUUCUUUGUGAGAUAAACAUCUCCAAAGUAGUGAAGCAUUUUUAAACCCCAACAAAGUGGUACCAGAGCUAUGGCUAGCAACACUAUGGCAGCCUUCCAAGUUCCAGUGCUCGACAACAACAACUUCGAUAAUUGGAGUAUCAAAAUGAAGGCCCUUUUGGGAGCACAUGAUGUAUGGGAAGUCAUGGAGAAAGGCUACAUUGAGCCAGAAGAUGAAGCUUGUUACAACCACCCCCAAAACAAUUGUAAUAUUUGUUAUUUUCACCCCUAAGCUGCCACGUGUCAGCCAUCUAACCCUCUCUUUUCUCUCUUUCUGGCCCCCCUGUGAUCUCUCUCUUCUUCUUCUUCGUCUCUCUCUCCCGUAGCUCUCUCAACUCUCCCGUGUAUCUCUCUCUCCCUCAACCUCUCGCAUCUCUCUUCUUCUGGACUCACGAAGAUCAUAUCACCAACAGGAGAGACUCACAACGAACCCAGGAUCCCUGCCCUGUGAACUCGACUGCACGGAGCAAAGCUCCGGCGAGAUUUCUUUCUUUUUUCCUGUCAGGUAAGUCUCGAAUCCCUCGUUCUCAUACCUAGCAUGAUGCUUGGUUGUGUUUUAGGAGCUUGAUCCUUCCAUUUUUACGUAGGUUUUGCCUCGGGAUCGUGUUGGGUGGAGCACACCCGUUUUCCGGCGAACCCGUGCACUUCGAGGGCUUUUCCGGUCACCUCCGACCGAGUUACGGUGUUUGGAAGGUAGAAACCUUUUCCUCUCUCCUUGUUCUUCAUGGUUGUACUUAGAUCGGAGCUUGAAGCUCUAGUUUUCAGGUGACCGGAGCUGUAGCAGCUCCGGCCUUCUUCUUCCUCGGCAGCAGGCCAUUCGGCCUUUUUUUCCCUCCCCCUCGGGCCUUAGGCCCGUGUUGUCUUAAGCCCAAAACCCUAGCCCCCUUUAGUUUUUAAGUUUUUUUCAUUGUUUUUAAAACCCUAUAAGGCCUCGGGCCUUAUAUAUAAUUGGCCUUGGGCCGGUUCCUUUUAAAGGGCUUAAAGCCCUGUUCUUUAUUAAGGCCUUAGGGCCUUUGUGGUAAGUGUGUGUGUGUGUGUUUAGGCAUGUGUGUGUGUGUGUGUGUGUGUGUGUGUGUGUGUGUUAUGCAUGCACAUGCAUGCCGUGUGUGUGUGUAUGUGUUUGGGCUAAAGCCCAAACCCCAAUUCUCACCCUAAUACCCUUUUAACCCAAAAACCCUAGGUUCCUAAAAUCCUUUAAACCCUAAACCCUAAUCGGCUCAAACCCUUUAUGUGGAAUAUUCUGUUAGGGAAUAUUUCAUUAGAAAAUAUUUCGUCAGGGAAUAUUCUAGGAAUAUUCUAUUGACUUUUACAGAAUUUAUCCGGGACCCUUCUUAGGGUAAUUCGACUUUCUGAAUCCGUUUCCAACGUCUGUUUUCCCAAAUUCAAUUGUUAAAAUAGAGUUUUAUUAAUUGGACCCUUUAUGUGCUUAGGGGCAAUUAUUGGUGACGUUUUCUUGUUCGUUAGUUUGCGUGGCUCUUCGGCGGCUAAGUACUGUGAGUGGACCCCUUCUAAAAUGCAUGUUUUAUAGUAGAAAUGCAUACAUGAAAAGCAUGAUUUGAUGAUUACGUUUUAUGAAACGUUUUGUGAGAUAACAUGCUUACUGAGGCUACUUUGAAUUAUUACUAUUUUUCCUAUAACCCGUGUUCUUAUAGAAUAUCUGAUGGAUGACGAUAUGAUAUUUAGAACAUGUUUCGAACACCUCUUUAUAGUAUAGAUGAUGGAUGACUUUAUACUAUGAAGUUGUUUUUCAAUAUAUAUAUGUUCAAUGGUUUUGUACUUACCUAGUGGUCCUUUCCGCUACGGGACAUAGGGAUAGAUUCCGGUCCAUCCCGGGCGACGGUUUGGUGUUGGCAUAGGGCCUGGAGUGUGUUUCCUCUGGCUAUUUAGCACAGGGACGGGGAGCCGGCAUGGGGCCUGAAGUGUAUUUUCCUCUAACUGUCUGCUCAGAGACGGGGAGCCAGCAUGGGGCUUGGGGGUUAUCGGACAAUUCACUAGUGAUUAUUAUAUAUGAGUUAUGAUUUGAGACAUUGCACGGCAUGCUAGGUUUCGGAAAACCUAUGUUUAACAUUAUAUAUGUGUUUUCAUAAAACCUGGGGGUUAGUACGUUGAUAACUGUUUUAUUAUAUAUAUAUCAACUUGGUCCACUCAUGUUUGUUUUGCGCCCCCUUCAGGACUUAGAAUCGAGGCAUACAAUUCCGGCAUCAAGGCACUUCCGCAUCGGCAUCUUCGAGUCCUCUUGGUGUGGGACCCAUUCUUUUAUUCAUUCAAUUUUAUAUUAUUUCUUUUAGUAUUCUAGUUAGUCGUAUGCUCUGAACACGUUCAUUAAAUGCAUAUUCUUUAUUCUUUUAUAUUUAUAUAUCUUAUCUAUUCCUUGUUUUCAGCAAUUGCACUCAAUAAAUGGCUUUCGUCACCCUCGGGUGUCGGCCAGCACGUGCCUAUCCUGGUAUUCGGGGAAAUAUCAGGAUCGGGGCGUGUCAAAGCUACUUUGUCCCAACCCCAAAAUGAGAGUUUGAAAGAUUAAAGAAAAAGAGACAAGAAGGCUCUCUACCUCAUCUACCAAGCAUUAGAUGACAAUGGCUUUGAGAAGGUCUCGAGUGCAACCUCUGCCAAGCAAGCAUGGGAGAAGCUUCAAACCUCUUACAAAGGAGCCGAACAAGUGAAAAAGGUUCGUCUUCAAGUAUUAAGUGGUGAGUUUGAAUCUCUACAAAUGAAAGGGUCUGAAGUAAUCUCUGAUUAUUUCUCAAGAGUCUUAGCCGUUUCCAAUCAAUUAAAAGAAAUGGAGAAAAGUUAGAAGAUGUUAGAAUUAUGGAGAAGAUACUACGCUCGUUGGCCCAAGUUCGAGCAUAUUGUCGUGACAAUUGAAGAAACUAAAAACUUGGAAGAAAUUAGUAUAGAGCAAUUAAUGGGUUCGCUACAAGCAUAUGAAGAGAAACAUAAGAAGAGGCAAGGAAAUGAUGAGCAGUUCCUCAAGACGCAUGUCCAGCCAAAGAAGAAAGAAGAAAACUUCAACAACGAGAUAAGCCAGUACAGAAGAAGUCGUGGCCGAGGUCGCGGACGUGAACAUGGGCGUGGAUGUGGUUGGAACUUCAACAACCAUAACAACUACGAAAGAAGAGAAAGCUUAACAAAAGGUCAUGGAAGAGGAUGCUCAAACUUGAGGUAUGAAAAUCUCAAGUUCAAUGUUAUAAUUGUCAAAGUUCGGGCAUUAUGCUUGGGAAUGUAGAGCUCCAAACAUCAGACUUGAUGAGAAGGUCAAUUAUGUGAAAGAAGAGAAAGAAGAGAAUGGCGUUGUAAGUAUCUUUGAUGUGCACAAAACAGUGCCCUACACACGCCCGCCCCGAAGGCAAUACAGUGACCACUAGAUACACACAAAACCAUUGAACAUAGUCUUUCUAAAACAUAGGUACAUAUAUUUCAAAAGCAUCUUCAUAGUAUAAAGUCAUCCAUCAUCUAUACUAUAAAGAAGGGUGUGAAAACAUGUUCUAAAUAGUAUAUCGUCAUUCAUCAGAAACCCUACAAAGAACAUGGGUUCGAUAGAAAAUAUGGUAUUCCAAAAUAUUCUAAGUAAGCAUAAUAUCUUAUAAAACGUAAUCAAUAAAUCCUGAUUUUCAUGUAUGCAUUUCUACUAUUUAAAACUUGCAAUUUAGAAGGGGUCAACUCAUAGAUACUCCAUCAUCGUAAAGCGGUACGAAAUUGGAAUGUCCAUGAUGAUAUUUGAUAGUGCGGUCAUAAUCACUGAUGAGUUCCAUCCAUCUUCUCUGCCUCAAAUUAAAAUCAUCCGUAGUGAAGACAUGUUUUAGGCUCUUGUGAUCAGUGAAGAUGCGGCACUUUUCGCCGUACAAGUAGUGUCUCCAGAUCUUUAGGGCAAAAACUACUGCUCCAAACUCCAGAUCAUGAGUGGGGUAGUUGCUUUCGUGAUUCCCGUUUAUGCUCCUGAAAACUCUGUUCACAAAUCUCAUCCCACUCGAACUUGACCCCCUUACGAGUCAACUUAGUAAGAGGCAGGAAGAUUACCCAUAAGUCUUGUACAAAACAUCUGUAAUAGCUAACCAGACCUAGAAAACUUCUCACUUCAGUAACGUUUCUCGGUUGCUCCCAAGUAGACACUGCUGAAACCUUUUGAGCGUCCACACUAAUUCCCUCAGCACACACUACAUGUCCGAGAAAACUAAUCUGGUUAAGCCAAAACUGACAUUUACUGAACUUAGGAUACAACUGAUUGCUUCUUAACCUUUCUAGCACCACCCGCAGAUGCUUCUUGUGCUCAGCAACACUUUUGGAAUAAAUUAGAAUGUCGUCAAUAAACACAAUCAUAAACCGAUCCAGAUACAGUCUGAAGACUCUGUUCAUCAAAUCCAUAAAUGUUGCAAGUUCAUUUGUUAAUCCAAAAGGCAUGACACGGAACUCAUAGUGUCCAUACCUAGUGCGGAAUGCAGUCUUCGUCACAUCUUCUUCACGGAUAAGUAAUUGAUGAUAACCUGAGCAAAGACAGAUCUUAGAGAAUACAUGUGCACCCUUCAGCUGGUCGAACAGGUCAUCGAUCUGAGGUAGAGGAUAACGGUUCUUCACCGUCACUCGAUUCAACUGUCUAUGUCACAUCCUAGAUCGGCUGUGCCAUAGCACGAUAUUGUCCGCUUUUGGCUCACCAUAUCUUAAGCAGUAGGCUUCACUUGACCCCGGGGAAAGCUCUUUUUGUUUUUUUGAAGAACACUUUACCUCAAACAGGUAAAGAGCGUGUUGUCAUCCAUUCGACCAGUACAAUUUAGCGCAUGCAUCAUGUUUUCGGAGCCACUUUAACACUUAAUUAUGUGUAUUUCUUUACAACCAGUCGCUUGUGUUGAUGCACAAAAUCAGCGAAAACUUUGGUACAACAGAAAGUGUCAGGUUUUGUGACCUUCGCUUGGUUACUUCGGUCACUGGUGAGGAUAAGU